CAUAGGUUAAUGAGGCGAACCGGGGGAACUGAAACAUCUAAGUACCCCGAGGAAAAGAAAUCAACCGAGAUUCCCCCAGUAGCGGCGAGCGAACGGGGAGGAGCCCAGAGCCUGAAUCAGUGUGUGUGUUAGUGGAAGCGUCUGGAAAGGCGCGCGAUACAGGGUGACAGCCCCGUACACAAAAAUGCACAUACUGUGAGCUCGAUGAGUAGGGCGGGACACGUGGUAUCCUGUCUGAAUAUGGGGGGACCAUCCUCCAAGGCUAAAUACUCCUGACUGACCGAUAGUGAACCAGUACCGUGAGGGAAAGGCGAAAAGAACCCCGGCGAGGGGAGUGAAAAAGAACCUGAAACCGUGUACGUACAAGCAGUGGGAGCCUCUUAAUGGGGUGACUGCGUACCUUUUGUAUAAUGGGUCAGCGACUUAUAUUCUGUAGCAAGGUUAACCGAAUAGGGGAGCCGAAGGGAAACCGAGUCUUAACUGGGCGUUAAGUUGCAGGGUAUAGACCCGAAACCCGGUGAUCUAGCCAUGGGCAGGUUGAAGGUUGGGUAACACUAACUGGAGGACCGAACCGACUAAUGUUGAAAAAUUAGCGGAUGACUUGUGGCUGGGGGUGAAAGGCCAAUCAAACCGGGAGAUAGCUGGUUCUCCCCGAAAGCUAUUUAGGUAGCGCCUCGUGAAUUCAUCUCCGGGGGUAGAGCACUGUUUCGGCAAGGGGGUCAUCCCGACUUACCAACCCGAUGCAAACUGCGAAUACCGGAGAAUGUUAUCACGGGAGACACACGGCGGGUGCUAACGUCCGUCGUGAAGAGGGAAACAACCCAGACCGCCAGCUAAGGUCCCAAAGUCAUGGUUAAGUGGGAAACGAUGUGGGAAGGCCCAGACAGCCAGGAUGUUGGCUUAGAAGCAGCCAUCAUUUAAAGAAAGCGUAAUAGCUCACUGGUCGAGUCGGCCUGCGCGGAAGAUGUAACGGGGCUAAACCAUGCACCGAAGCUGCGGCAGCGACGCUUAUGCGUUGUUGGGUAGGGGAGCGUUCUGUAAGCCUGUGAAGGUGGCCUGUGAGGGUUGCUGGAGGUAUCAGAAGUGCGAAUGCUGACAUAAGUAACGAUAAAGCGGGUGAAAAGCCCGCUCGCCGGAAGACCAAGGGUUCCUGUCCAACGUUAAUCGGGGCAGGGUGAGUCGACCCCUAAGGCGAGGCCGAAAGGCGUAGUCGAUGGGAAACAGGUUAAUAUUCCUGUACUUGGUGUUACUGCGAAGGGGGGACGGAGAAGGCUAUGUUGGCCGGGCGACGGUUGUCCCGGUUUAAGCGUGUAGGCUGGUUUUCCAGGCAAAUCCGGAAAAUCAAGGCUGAGGCGUGAUGACGAGGCACUACGGUGCUGAAGCGACAAAUGCCCUGCUUCCAGGAAAAGCCUCUAAGCAUCAGGUAACAUUAAAUCGUACCCCAAACCGACACAGGUGGUCAGGUAGAGAAUACCAAGGCGCUUGAGAGAACUCGGGUGAAGGAACUAGGCAAAAUGGUGCCGUAACUUCGGGAGAAGGCACGCUGAUAUGUAGGUGAAGCGACUUGCUCGUGGAGCUGAAAUCAGUCGAAGAUACCAGCUGGCUGCAACUGUUUAUUAAAAACACAGCACUGUGCAAACACGAAAGUGGACGUAUACGGUGUGACGCCUGCCCGGUGCCGGAAGGUUAAUUGAUGGGGUUAGCGGUAACGCGAAGCUCUUGAUCGAAGCCCCGGUAAACGGCGGCCGUAACUAUAACGGUCCUAAGGUAGCGAAAUUCCUUGUCGGGUAAGUUCCGACCUGCACGAAUGGCGUAAUGAUGGCCAGGCUGUCUCCACCCGAGACUCAGUGAAAUUGAACUCGCUGUGAAGAUGCAGUGUACCCGCGGCAAGACGGAAAGACCCCGUGAACCUUUACUAUAGCUUGACACUGAACAUUGAGCCUUGAUGUGUAGGAUAGGUGGGAGGCUUUGAAGUGUGGACGCCAGUCUGCAUGGAGCCGACCUUGAAAUACCACCCUUUAAUGUUUGAUGUUCUAACGUGGGCCCCUUACCGGGGUUGCGGACAGUGUCUGGUGGGUAGUUUGACUGGGGCGGUCUCCUCCUAAAGAGUAACGGAGGAGCACGAAGGUUGGCUAAUCCUGGUCGGACAUCAGGAGGUUAGUGCAAUGGCAUAAGCCAGCUUGACUGCGAGCGUGACGGCGCGAGCAGGUGCGAAAGCAGGUCAUAGUGAUCCGGUGGUUCUGAAUGGAAGGGCCAUCGCUCAACGGAUAAAAGGUACUCCGGGGAUAACAGGCUGAUACCGCCCAAGAGUUCAUAUCGACGGCGGUGUUUGGCACCUCGAUGUCGGCUCAUCACAUCCUGGGGCUGAAGUAGGUCCCAAGGGUAUGGCUGUUCGCCAUUUAAAGUGGUACGCGAGCUGGGUUUAGAACGUCGUGAGACAGUUCGGUCCCUAUCUGCCGUGGGCGCUGGAGAACUGAGGGGGGCUGCUCCUAGUACGAGAGGACCGGAGUGGACGCAUCACUGGUGUUCGGGUUGUCAUGCCAAUGGCACUGCCCGGUAGCUAAAUGCGGAAGAGAUAAGUGCUGAAAGCAUCUAAGCACGAAACUUGCCCCGAGAUGAGUUCUCCCUGACUCCUUGAGAGUCCUGAAGGAACGUUGAAGACGACGACGUUGAUAGGCCGGGUGUGUAAGCGCAGCGAUGCGUUGAGCUAACCGGUACUAAUGAACCGUGAG
RNAcentral lists this ribosomal RNA (2732 nucleotides) under Escherichia coli. RNAcentral describes it as "partial 23S ribosomal RNA". It matches the Rfam family "Bacterial large subunit ribosomal RNA". The record is from RNAcentral. Lineage: Bacteria; Pseudomonadati; Pseudomonadota; Gammaproteobacteria; Enterobacterales; Enterobacteriaceae.